CCUACGGGAGGCAGCAGUGGGGGAUAUUGCACAAUGGGGGAAACCCUGAUGCAGCGACGCCGCGUGGGCGAAGAAGUAUUUCGGUAUGUAAAGCCCUAUCAGCAGGGAAGAAGAAAUGACGGUACCUGGGUAAGAAGCACCGGCUAAAUACGUGCCAGCAGCCGCCGUAAUACGUAUGGUGCAAGCGUUAUCCGGGUUUAAUGGGUGUAAAGGGAGCGGAGGCGGCACGGCAAGCCUGAUGUGAAAGCCCGCGGCCCAAACGUGGGACUGCAGUGGGAACUAGCGGGCUUGAGUGACGGAGAGGUAGGCGGAAUGCCUAGUGUAGCGGUGAAAUGCGUAGAUAUUAGGAGGAACACCAGUGGCGAAGGCGGCCUACUGGACGGUGACUGACGCUGAGGCUCGAAAGCGUGGGGAGCGAACAGGAUUAGAUACCCGUGUAGUC
RNAcentral lists this ribosomal RNA (442 nucleotides) under uncultured bacterium. RNAcentral describes it as "partial 16S ribosomal RNA". It matches the Rfam family "Bacterial small subunit ribosomal RNA", at positions 338 to 795 of the family's 1533-position model. The record is from RNAcentral.